UACGUAGGAGGCGAGCGUUGUCCGGAGUUACUGGGCGUAAAGGGUGCGCAGGCGGCGGUUCGCGUGGCGAGAUGAAAUCUCCUGGCUUACCUGGGAGGAUGGUCGCCAGACGGGAUCGCUUGAGGGUCGGAGAGGGGCGUGGAAUUCCGGGUGGAGCGGUGAAAUGCGUAGAUAUCUGGAGGAAUACCGGUGGCGAAGGCGGCAUCCUGGACCGAGAUUGACGCUGAACGGCGAAAGCUAGGGGAGCAAACGGG
This 254-nucleotide ribosomal RNA is filed under the name uncultured bacterium. RNAcentral describes it as "partial 16S ribosomal RNA". It matches the Rfam family "Bacterial small subunit ribosomal RNA", at positions 524 to 776 of the family's 1533-position model. The record is from RNAcentral.